This 492-nucleotide ribosomal RNA is filed under the name uncultured bacterium. Its description in RNAcentral is "partial 16S ribosomal RNA". It matches the Rfam family "Bacterial small subunit ribosomal RNA", at positions 29 to 507 of the family's 1533-position model. The record is from RNAcentral.
AGUGAACGCUGGCGGUAGGCCUAACACAUGCAAGUCGAACGGCAGCACAGUAAGAGCUUGCUCUUACGGGUGGCGAGUGGCGGACGGGUGAGGAAUACAUCGGAAUCUACUUUUUCGUGGGGGAUAACGUAGGGAAACUUACGCUAAUACCGCAUACGACCUACGGGUGAAAGCAGGGGAUCUUCGGACCUUGCGCGAUUGAAUGAGCCGAUGUCGGAUUAGCUAGUUGGCGGGGUAAAGGCCUACCAAGGCGACGAUCCGUAGCUGGUCUGAGAGGAUGAUCGGCCACACUGGAACUGAAACACGGUCCAGACUCCUACGGGAGGGAGCAGUGGGGAAUAUUGGACAGUGGGCGCAAGCCUGAUCCAGCCAUACCGCGUGGGUGAAGAAGGCCUUCGGGUUGUAAAGCCCUUUUGUUGGGAAAGAAAAGCAGCAGGUUAAUACCCCGCUGUUCUGACGGUACCCAAAGAAUAAGCACCGGCUAACUUCGUG